RNAcentral lists this ribosomal RNA (245 nucleotides) under uncultured bacterium. Its description in RNAcentral is "partial 16S ribosomal RNA". It matches the Rfam family "Bacterial small subunit ribosomal RNA", at positions 524 to 768 of the family's 1533-position model. The record is from RNAcentral.
UACGUAGGGGGCAAGCGUUGUCCGGAUUUACUGGGUGUAAAGGGUGCUCAGGUGGUUUGGUAAGUCAGUGGUGAAAUCUCGAAGCUUAACUUCGGAACUGCCUCUGAUACUAUCAGACUUGAGUAUGGAAGAGGAUGAUGGAAUUCCUGGUGUAGCAGUGAAAUGCGUAGAUAUCAGGAAGAACACCAGUGGCGAAGGCGGUCAUCUGGUCCAUUACUGACACUAAAGCACGAAAGCGUGGGGAU